RNAcentral lists this unclassified non-coding RNA (380 nucleotides) under Hevea brasiliensis (rubber tree). The record is from RNAcentral. Lineage: Eukaryota; Viridiplantae; Streptophyta; Magnoliopsida; Malpighiales; Euphorbiaceae.
GGAUCAUAGUCAUAAGCAUCACCAUCCUUGACAAACCGUCCUUUUACACGUCUUCUUACUUCUGCUCUUGCCUUGCGAGAAACAUAUCUCACUCGUUUGUCAAAUUGACGUGUCUUCUUCUUUUCCUUGUAGCGCGAUACAGCAUCACUCCUGCUAGUUGAUGGCAUUGAACUUUCAGGACAUGGCGGAUGCCAGGAUGGCUCUCCCAUGCGAAGCAUUGAGGAAGCUCCACAGUCUUGACAAUCUCCAGCAUUGCUCUCUCCCGUGAGGUUUGAAAAUGAGAAACUGGAUUGUUGCAUUGCAAAGCAAAGGGUAGGAGGUUCUGUCUUACAGCUCAUCAUUGAUUCUGCCGAUGCUGCAUUGCUACAAGCUGACUUCAC